UACGUAGGGUGCGAGCGUUACUCGGAAUUACUGGGCGUAAAGUGUGCGCAGGCGGCGCCGCAUGUCGAGUGUGAAAGCCCCGAGCUUAACUUGGGAAUUGCGCUCGAAACUACGGUGCUGGAGUGUGGCAGAGGAAGGUGGAAUUCCACGUGUAGCGGUGAAAUGCGUAGAGAUGUGGAGGAACACCGAUGGCGAAGGCGGCCGACUGGCCGAGUGCUGACGCUGAGGCGCGACGGCGUGGGGAGCAAACCGG
Molecule: ribosomal RNA, 253 nt
Filed under: uncultured bacterium
Lineage: Bacteria
Description: partial 16S ribosomal RNA
Rfam family: Bacterial small subunit ribosomal RNA
Source: RNAcentral